RNAcentral lists this unclassified non-coding RNA (240 nucleotides) under soil metagenome. Its description in RNAcentral is "partial contains 5.8S ribosomal RNA, internal transcribed spacer 2, and large subunit ribosomal RNA". The record is from RNAcentral.
AACGCACGAGACCUGCGGACCUGCGGAGGGAUCAUUACCGAGUGUUACAGCUCCCAAACCCACUGUGAACGUACCCAUCGUUGCUUCGGCGGGACCGCCCCGGCGCCUCCGCGCGCCGGGCACGGGCGCCCGCCGGGGGCCCGAAACUCUUGCCUCCUCGCGUGGAUUCUCUGAGUGGCACGAAAAGGGAAAAUGAAUCAAAACUUUCAACAACGGAUCUCUAGAUCGGAAGAGCACACG